Molecule: long non-coding RNA, 3366 nt
Organism: Thalassophryne amazonica
Lineage: Eukaryota; Metazoa; Chordata; Actinopteri; Batrachoidiformes; Batrachoididae
Exons: 2
Source: RefSeq, a predicted model, not a curated record
GAGGGGGAAAAAUGAAUUUAAUCCAUUGUGGAGUAAGGCUGUAACAUAAAAUGUGGGGAAAAGUGAAGCGCUAUGGUUACUUUCUGGAUACACUGUACACAGCUGCCAAAAUAAUUAAAAUUAUGUUGAAGUCUAUAUUGGAGAUACUGUUUUGUAAAGUAUUCUGUCAGGAAUAUAUUGGUUUAAAGUGCCUUUUAAAAUGGGAUACAAACUGCUUAUAAAUGGCUUCAAAUCAAAGUUAAAACUGGCUUAAAUGCAAAUGAGCAGGAUUUUGAAAACCACCAAUUUUGACUGGUAUUAAUACAUAAUAUUAAUUUUUUUUUUUUAAGGGUUGUUUGGGGAAAAUUUACAAGUAUUGUCAGUUUCUAUCUAGUUUGACAUUUUAACACUGGUUUUCUAUCUAAAGUCAGCUGCUAGUCAUACAAUUUUGAAUGUUUGAAAUGUCCAAAAACCAACUGGUUUAAAAUAGUUUUAAUCUGUCUAAAGUUGAAAUAAGAUUUUUAAUUCCUUUUCAAACCAUAUAGUGGCUGUUUUUUGAGCACUGGGGAACCAGGUUUAAAAUGGCUACAUUUGGGGUGGGGAAACCAGUUUGGCCUGUUUAAAAUAAAUGGAUAUUUUUGGUUUUCAAGCAAAUAAUGUGAAGAUAAAUUUGCUGUUUGAGAAACUAAUGGGCUUAAAAAAAACUUUCUGGUAAUUUUCAGGCACAACAAAUUGAUUAAUUCCUCUCCACGUUGGGUUUUGAUUGAAGGUCUACAACAUUUUGUUGACUUUAUUUUCACACCUCCUUUUAAUUUUUACACCUCAGCUUGCAGCUGUAGGUGGAGAUCAUGUCGAGGUUCAAUCUGUGCUUUCAAAAACUGACUUGUGUUGUGGGAGACCUAAUCUGGGAUCCAUGCUGUCACUCUCUGGACUACAGAUCUGCUGCGAGUGAAGCGGUUUUUGAAAUAGUUUGCUGUUGUAUCAUUUCAUUAAUGCAUCCGUGUCGAUGCAGGCUAGAUGUGAAUAACAGCGGCCUUCAUCAUUUCAUCUGGUGUUGGUGUGAAUGGACGUAGCUGACAUGAAUAUAUUAAGGUUCAUUUGGACUUUUAUGGUUUCUUACUCUGUUGCUGUUCUUGGCUUUAUCACUGGAGAGUUAAGGUGGGCUGACGUGCGCCGUUUGCACAAUGGCAACAAAAAUGUGUUGCCGAUUAAAAUGGGCCCAAAAAAAGACUGAUUUCUGCCACUUUUAUGACAUUUCAUACAGUGAAUGAAAAGUGUUUGUUUUGAUGUGGGUCAUAGUCCCGACUAGUCACUACAUUUCAGUCAUCGUAGACAAUGUUCCUUUGGGAAUCACAUCCAUUUCCUCUUGUCUUCAUUUCACGGCAGUCAUACACCUUUUCAAACUAAUAUGGGUCACCAUGUGUCUUAAAAUCGUGUCAAAAUUUGUAGCCAACACGUCCAGUAAACACUGAGGUGAUGCAUCAAAAUAAAUGUAAUUUCUCACAUCUCCACGAAGCAGCAGAUUUCUGUUUUGUAGCGAUGGAUGUGCAAGUCCAGCUAACUGUCGUUUUAUUGUUUCAUAACUUUUCUUAUAAGGGUGCAGAGGGUUUCGGCCUGUUCUGUCCACACGUGCUGCUCCGUCUAUUUUAGAAAGUCAUGACUCUUUCUGUGCAUCCUGUGACUUACAAUUGCAGGUACUUUCCAUUGCAGUUUUGGGAAAUACUUUUUUUUUUUUAAUCACCAGAGAAUCCAUUUCAUGAUUCAUUACAGUAUGUUUGCGUAGGCUAUAUCAAUAUUGGGAGUAAAAAAUUUACUACGCUGAUGUUUACGUAAAAAAUGGCAAUGAUUCCUCACAUUUUGAUAUUGAACACUUAUGACAAAGACAUAAUUGACGGUUGAUGUUUUACAGUUUAAACAUAAAUAUAACCAAAUAAUGUAUGUAUGCUGCCUUCAGUUAGAGUGGCAGUUGCUGUGUUGCAUCACUCAACAUUUGCAUAAAGUAGACUCCUAGUCUAUUUUGGCCCCACUUAGCUGGCAGCAUAGUAGCUACUUGUAUCACUGACUGAAAAUGAGUGGCAUCUGGUUACUUUGCCUUUGUUUCUUGUUAGCUAAUGUGACCAAGGGGCGAUAAGGGUCCCAGCCAUGUUUGAUGGCAUUGUAAACAAUAGCUUAUGUAACAAACUCUGUAAUGACACAUUUUCCAACAGCCAGUAUUUUUUCUCAUUGUUUAUUUAGUAAAAUAAAUGUUUUCAUCCCAGCAAAAAAAUAACGCAUAUCCCAGUAUGUUCAUGAAAAGCUCACACAUGUCGGUUGGUCUCUAGUUUUUUUUAUUAUGCGCCUUUUCAAUUCACAUUUUUCCAUUGCGUAAUUGAAAGCUAAUGAAAACCUGCGUAGCAGUGGUGUUGGUGAGGGUGUUGCUUUUUCAACAGGAAGAAAUGUGAAACAGAAUGAGUGUGGAGGGGGCGUCAUUGAUAAUGCAUCACCUCAGUGAUUUGUCAGGUGUUUCAACUAGCUAAUUUUGAGGUAAACAUAUCUCUCACACUUGCUGAGAGUAUGUUGUACAUCAGACAAGAUGGUGAAUUUUUAUCGGUUUGAAAUGAGAUGUUCUGUUGAAGAUCUUAUCCUUGAAUUGAUAAUCGGGUGCAACAAUUUUUUAUUUUUAUACUGCUGCUGGACGCGACGUCCCGUUGAACACUUAUCUAGGAUUCGGCUCCAUGUUGCGCUACAGCGUGCCAUGAAUGAACUUUGUUUGGCAGAUGGUGGAGAAAUAAUUUUGUGUCCAGUCUUGACUGAAGCUUCGUCGGCUCUGUUUGAGAAUAAAGACAAAUCAUUCUGAAGCGUCAAAUAAAUCCAAACGAGGUUGUAAAUGGUGAGCAGUGAUGCCAUUGUGUGCUGUAAAUGUCCAUUUCUUUCCUUUAUUCAUUGCCUUUUCUUUGGAUUCUGAAUAUGAUUAUUAAGCUGUAAGAAUACUGUAGUAUUAUACGUGAAGCAUUCUUAAUUGCUAGGCAUAGAAAUCGCUUGUGGUCAAUCUUUGCAAUGUUGUAUAAAACAAAAGCAAAAUGAUUUUUAAAAACGUGAAAAAUUAAGAAAAUGAAUGGGGGAAAUUAUCAGUCAGAGGCCAAGGUAAAGAACUCUCUUUGUUUGCUUGUUUUUUAAUUAGCAACUUAUCACUGUGUGAUAUUUUGUACAUCAUAUUAAGCUGUAAUCAAACUAUUUCCUGUAACUACAAGGGACUAGAGACCUGCUUUUUAUUAAUUUUGUUUUAUUAUAUAUUUUUGAACUGCAUUCUAGCUUGUAUCAAAGGACUUCUUUUGUUUACGGGUCCCCCUCCCCCUUGUUGUAUGUCAUUGAGGAAGAAAAAAAAAAAGAAAAUUUUUGUACAGUGAA